UAAGUGGUGGAAAUUAAACCAACUGGGAUCUCUUCAGUAAUUGCGCAUGAACCAGGAUAUGCUUAGCUUGACAAAUGGAGCUGCUGGCUCUGAAUUGUAUUGUGGGAAUGUAUUACCAACAGAGGUGCAGGUGUCAGCCAUUUGAAAGAAAGCAUCAAUGAGGGUGAGAGUCCUGUUUGUCAUGUGCAGCCUUCUGUGCACGGUGUAUAUUUGCUGAGUCACACUCCUUGGCAUUGGAAUGCAAAGUGGGUGGUAAGUUUCAUGCAAAGGUAAAUAUGCAAUUGAGACUGAUAGCGCACAAGUACCAUGAGGGACAUAUGAAAAGGACUUUGAAAAGAGAAUUAAAUGAGUUUGUAUUUGCUAAACACAAAGUAAACAGACUUGAUUUCCUCAGUGAGAUUGUAGUGCUUGCUUAACAAUGGGUUUUGGCUGCAAGUGCAAUAAUUCUUGCUUUGUGUGCCAGUUUUUAUGUGGACAUUUGAUUACCUUUGCACAUGAAUGGUAAUUUUCCUGCGGGGUGUGGAUUGCAUAUGCAUGUAAUGAUUUGCAUGUUUGUUAAAUGUGUCUGGUGUAUUUGUUUGUGUCCUUGUCCUUGAGGUUGCUUUCUCCCUUGGGCUUACAUGCCCUGGCACACACAUUCUGGCAAAAUGCUUCUGCUUGACCCG
RNAcentral lists this ribosomal RNA (665 nucleotides) under Alexandrium cf. catenella. RNAcentral's name for it is "LSU rRNA". It matches the Rfam family "Eukaryotic large subunit ribosomal RNA", at positions 47 to 651 of the family's 3401-position model. Lineage: Eukaryota; Dinophyceae; Gonyaulacales; Pyrocystaceae. The record is from RNAcentral.